AUGAAAUUAACCUCCAGUGCUGAAAUAACGGCAGUGAGCUACACAUUUCUAAAUCAGCUGCAGUCUGCUCUGGGCUUGAGCUCGGCCUCUGAUGUUAAACUGUCCUGGUCCAGACUCCCGUACCGCGUCGCUACAAACGAGAAGAAACCCACGAGGACUUGUGCUGGCAAACGUUAAACUGGAUCCACAGGCUGAGUCUUGGUUACACGAGUUAUUUAUAAUUCAUUGAUUUCUGCUAACAUUUUCAUUGCCUUGUUGUACAUGGUUCAUAUACGUGGUUCGA
Puntigrus tetrazona (Sumatra barb) is the source of this 283-nucleotide long non-coding RNA. RefSeq lists it as uncharacterized. The transcript is spliced from 3 exons. The record is from RefSeq and is a predicted model, not a curated record. NCBI's taxonomy places the organism in Eukaryota, Metazoa, Chordata, Actinopteri, Cypriniformes, Cyprinidae.